RNAcentral lists this ribosomal RNA (328 nucleotides) under uncultured Lachnospiraceae bacterium. Its description in RNAcentral is "bacterial SSU rRNA". It matches the Rfam family "Bacterial small subunit ribosomal RNA", at positions 28 to 339 of the family's 1533-position model. The record is from RNAcentral. Lineage: Bacteria; Bacillati; Bacillota; Clostridia; Lachnospirales; Lachnospiraceae.
GAUGAACGCUGGCGGCGUGCUUAAUACAUGCAAGUCGAACGAGGAAUUGUGAUUGAAGUUUUCGGAUGGAUUUCACUUUUCCGAGUGGCGGACGGGUGAGUAACGCGUGGGUAACCUGCCUUAUACCGGGGGACAACAGUUGGAAACGGCUGCUAAUACCGCAUAAGCGCACAGUAUCGCAUGAUACAGUGUGAAAAACUCCGGUGGUAUAAGAUGGACCCGCGUCUGAUUAGCCAGUUGGCGGUGUAACGGACCACCAAAGCGACGAUCAGUAGCCGGCCUGAGAGGGCAAACGGCCACAUUGGGACUGAGACACGGCCCAAACUCC